Long non-coding RNA from Gorilla gorilla gorilla (western lowland gorilla), 1020 nucleotides. RefSeq lists it as uncharacterized. The transcript is spliced from 3 exons. The record is from RefSeq and is a predicted model, not a curated record. NCBI's taxonomy places the organism in Eukaryota, Metazoa, Chordata, Mammalia, Primates, Hominidae.
GGAUCCAGAUAAUGGCCAUCACAUCAUCAUUUAAGGCAGGACGUAAGGACUAACCAUGUCUCUUCUCCAGCUCUACAUAUUUCAUCCUGAGCAGCAAGGGAGGCUGAGAAAGUGGGCACUGGAGCCUUGGCAGCCUCUGUGUUAGAAGAGGGAGAAGAGGAUUGGUCAUAGGAGUAAGCAGAGCCAACCUACAGUGGUGGCCACAUGCACUUAAAAAAGAAAACUUCUGUUGUGUUGUUUGGUUUGUUUGUUUUGAGACAGGGUCUCACUCUAUUACCCAGGCUGGAGUGUGGUGGAUCACCGCAACUUCCACCUCCCGGGCUCAAGUGAACCUCCCACCUCAGCCUUCUGAGUAGCUGGGACUACAGGCCCGCACCACCACACCUGGCUAAUUUUUUUUGUAUUUUUUAUAGAGAUGGGGUUUCACCAUGUUGCCCAGGCUGGUUCCGAACUCUUGGGCUCAUGUGAUCCUCCCAAAGUGCUGGGUUUACAGGCGUGAGCCACUGCGCUCCACCAAAACUUCAGUUCUUAAUAAAACCAAACAUGAUAAAAAAUAAAACUCCUAGAAAGUUUCCUCCAUUAUUUUCAACUUUUCCCAGUUCUUUUAUGUUAGAAUUCUGGAAUCAGUUUGAAGAGACUGCACAAGACAAUUACUUUUGUGUCUGACCAUUCAAGGUGUGAGUUCCCAACCAGCAGUAUCAGCAUCUCAGGCUCCGUCCCAACUACUGAGCCAGAAUCUGCAUUUCAACAGGAUCCCAGAGUUCCUAAAACUGUUGGAAUCUCCUGAGUGAUCCAUAUAUAGGAGGAGUCUCUAAAACUCAGGCCAGAGGACCAAUGAGUUAAGUCUAUCAGGAACCUAAGUGCAGUGGGGACGUGUUCCCUCUUGGAGAAAAACUUGUCUUAAAAGAAGAGACUCAAGGCAUACAAGUUUGGUCCCAGGCAAUGUGUCACCAUCUAUUCAACAGUCGAUUAGCACCUCUUGUUCCCUUGCAAUAAAAUGACAAAUAAAACCAGCCAGGC